AGUGAACGCUGGCGGUAGGCCUAACACAUGCAAGUCGAACGGCAGCACAGUAAGAGCUUGCUCUUACGGGUGGCGAGUGGCGGACGGGUGAGGAAUACAUCGGAAUCUACUUUUUCGUGGGGGAUAACGUAGGGAAACUUACGCUAAUACCGCAUACGACCUACGGGUGAAAGCAGGGGAGCUUCGGACCUUGCGCGAUUGAAUGAGCCGAUGUCGGAUUAGCUAGUUGGCGGGGUAAAGGCCCACCAAGGCGACGAUCCGUAGCUGGUCUGAGAGGAUGAUCAGCCACACUGGAACUGAGACGCGGUCCAGACUCCUACGGGAGGCAGCAGUGGGGAAUAUUGGACAAUGGGCGCAAGCCUGAUCCAGCCAUACCGCGUGGGUGAAGAAGGCCUUCGGGUUGUAAAGCCCUUUUGUUGGGAAAGACAAGCAGCAGGUUAAUACCCCGCUGUUCUGACGGUACCCAAAGAAUAAGCACCGGCUAACUUCGUG
RNAcentral lists this ribosomal RNA (492 nucleotides) under uncultured bacterium. RNAcentral describes it as "partial 16S ribosomal RNA". It matches the Rfam family "Bacterial small subunit ribosomal RNA", at positions 29 to 507 of the family's 1533-position model. The record is from RNAcentral.